GAUUUUCUUUUUAUAGAA
RNAcentral lists this transfer RNA (18 nucleotides) under Nosopsyllus laeviceps laeviceps. RNAcentral describes it as "partial tRNA-Leu". The record is from RNAcentral. Lineage: Eukaryota; Metazoa; Arthropoda; Insecta; Siphonaptera; Ceratophyllidae.